UGUUCGAGCGUCAUUAUAACCCCUCAAGCUCAGCUUGGUGUUGGGGCCUGCUGUCUGGCAGCCCUUAAAAUUAGUGGCGGUGCCACCUGGCUCUAAGCGUAGUAAUUUUUCUCGCUACAGGGUCCUGGUGGAUGCUUGCCAUCAACCCCCAAUUUUCUAUGGUUGACCUCGGAUCAGGUAGGGAUACCCGCUGAACUUAA
Molecule: unclassified non-coding RNA, 200 nt
Filed under: soil metagenome
Description: partial contains internal transcribed spacer 2 and large subunit ribosomal RNA
Source: RNAcentral